UACGGAGGGGGCAAGCGUUACUCGGAAUUAUUGGGCGUAAAGGGCGCGUAGGCGGUCGUGCGCGUCGGAGGUGAAAUCCCCGGGCUUAACCCGGGAGCUGCCUCCGAUACGGCAUGUCUUGAGUCCGGGAGAGGGGAGCAGAAUUCCCAGUGUAGCGGUGAAAUGCGUAGAUAUUGGGAGGAAUACCAGUGGCGAAGGCGGCUCCCUGGACCGGUACUGACGCUGAGGUGCGAAAGCGUGGGGAGCAAACAGG
Molecule: ribosomal RNA, 253 nt
Filed under: uncultured bacterium
Lineage: Bacteria
Description: partial 16S ribosomal RNA
Rfam family: Bacterial small subunit ribosomal RNA
Source: RNAcentral